GUCAAAGAGACUGCGCGCUUUUCGAGCUAAUUUUCCCGACAAUAUGCAGUUGCAAAAGUCGAACUAUCGGGACCGUGUGCAGUGCUUAGGCAAAAGCUUCCGGAAGUCCCCGAAAAAGCUCGGGAGGGAAAGCUUAAACAGAAUCGCUUUCGCAGAUGCAACUUGGCAAGCUGCACCUACUUACUCGUCCAAAAUGGCGGCGCUGUCGGCGAAAUGCCGAUAAAUCAAAGUUUCCUCAUUUGAAAAAUGCCAAGUGCCCACCGCGACAUUUUAUUACACAGCGGAGGUCAAUAUAUAGUGUUACACAGCUUUUCUUAUAAUUACAUAAUUGACAAAAACGGAUAAACUGUUUUAACAUAAUAUGACUCUAGCUUAGUCACUCAAUCAUAAACAAUUUGUGUAAAAAGGACUCUACCCGAGUCACUCAACCGUCGAAAAGUUAUUGCAACCCGAUCCCGUGUCGCUGGAUGUACAUAAAUACCAGUUUCCAGUUUCCGCCGAUCCGAGGUCCAAGCUGAGUUGGCCCAUGUUGAUACGAGUGCCAGUGUGUGGACUGGGAGAUGUCCGGCCUGACGUUUAUGAAAAGCCAUCGCAGCAUCAAAGCCAAUUAAGAUACCGGGCAGGGCACAUACAAGCUCUAAAGGAAUACGCGGCUAAUUUCUGCGACAAAGCCGACAAACGAUCGAGUCCAACUCCAACUCCAACCCCAAGUCCAAGUCCAAGUCCAUAUCCAAGUCCAGUGUCUGGGGGCAAGAUGCAAGAAGCAAGAAGCAAGAAGCGGCACUUUUGUCGCAAACACAGGCCGUAAAAUUAAGAACUCUGAUUGGUAACAAAUGUUUUUGUUCAUUCGAGUGAUAAAAACGUAGCGAACCGAAAAGAUAUAAAGUUCUCUUUAGUGUCUUGCCAGCGCGGCGAUGAUAAAAUAUUUAAAUGAGCGCCGAAAUGGGAAGGUUUCUUGGCUUGGAUCAGUUUGGAUCGGCUUGGACAUUUAGGAAAUCAGAGAGAGAGAGAGAGAGACACCCAAACCUUAAUGGCCGCGCACACGAACCGGGCCAAACAAGCCGAAACAGUGGGCUUAAACAAGACCAAGGGCAAAAGUGUGAAACACGGAGCGGCGUAACGCCAAUAGCAUUCGUCGAUAACCACGGUGUGUCCGCCGAGCCGAGUAAGUCGGUCGGCUGUCAUGAUUAAACAAAAGUCCAAUGCCAGCUAGGAUAUUAAAUUACAGCCAUAACGACGCAGCUAAGGACCCACUCGACGUCGACAAGGGCUUGCCAGAUUCACUUUGGGACAGGCCGACAAACGACAAACGCAAACGACGACCCAGCCCAAAAGCAAAGCCAAAAGGCUUGCAACAGAAUCAAAACGAAUCGAAACGGCCACGACAAAAUCAUAAAAGGCAUAAACAGUUGUAAAGACCCAAACCACAAAGGGCGUAGAAUCAAAAUUGAGCACUAAAACGUUAUCGAGGUCGGCGCAGAUUAACUAGCCUUUUUGCUGUUGACUCGACGAUGGACGCCGGCAGAGGAUGGGAUGGCACAUCCCGGCAGGUAGUUCAUUCUGAAAUAUCGAAUGCAUCUUAAAGAUACUUGUGCGACAUUACGAUCAUUACUCUGUGUAACAGAUACGCUGCGAUGGAAAGGGGCAGGGGAAUGGGAAUGGGAAUGGCAAUGGGCAGUGGCUGUAGACAGGUCGACCUGUCGUGUAAUCCGGUCCCGCCCGGCAAUUAUAACCAUAUAUAGCCCCCGCUGGCGACGGUGCCGCGUUGACGACCCACAGCCGAGCUAUUGUCCAAAAAUUGUCAUUCACAACUGUCUCGCCGAUAAGAAACAAUUAUCAGAGGCAAAAGGACUGCGAGGAGAGAUCACAUUGAAUGGCGCCAGUUUCACAAUGAAUCUUGACCGAAAGGACAGGUCUUACGUUAAGAUUUCGUCAUGCCCUUUUUAUACCCUUGCAGAGGGUAUUAUAAUUUCAGUCAGAAGUUUGCAACGCAGUGAAGGAGACGUUUCCGACCCUAUAAAGUAUAUAUAUUCUUGAUCAGCAUCACUAGGAGAGUCGAUCUAGCCAUGUCCGUCUGUCCGUCUGUCCGUCUGUCCGUCUGUCCGUCCGUUUAUAUGCAAACUAGUCUCUCAGUUUUAAAGCUAUCUGCAUGAAACUUUCCCAAAAGUUGUCUUUCUAUUGCAGGUAGUAUAUAAGUCGGAACGAGCCGGAUCGGACGACUA
Molecule: long non-coding RNA, 2222 nt
Organism: Drosophila gunungcola (fruit fly)
Lineage: Eukaryota; Metazoa; Arthropoda; Insecta; Diptera; Drosophilidae
Exons: 4
Source: RefSeq, a predicted model, not a curated record